This 682-nucleotide ribosomal RNA is filed under the name Mortierella sp. T6. RNAcentral's name for it is "eukaryotic LSU rRNA". The stretch from base 225 to 378 matches the Rfam family "5.8S ribosomal RNA". Lineage: Eukaryota; Fungi; Mortierellomycota; Mortierellomycetes; Mortierellales; Mortierellaceae. The record is from RNAcentral.
CUUGGUCAUUUAGAGGAAGUAAAAGUCGUAACAAGGUUUCCGUAGGUGAACCUGCGGAAGGAUCAUUCACAAACGAGUGUUUUAUGGCACUCUUUAAAAAUCCAUAUCCACCUUGUGUGCAAUGUUUGUUGGGAAAGUCUUUUCUUUCCCUUCAUAAAUAUCAACCUAUAUCUUUAACAACAUUCGUCUGAUAACAUAUUAUGAAUAUACUUAAUUCAAAAUAUAACUUUCAACAACGGAUCUCCUGGCUCUCGCAUCGAUGAAGAACGCAGCGAAAUGCGAUACGUAAUGUGAAUUGCAGAAUUCAGUGAAUCAUCGAAUCUUUGAACGCAUAUUGCGCUCUUUGGUAUUCCGAAGAGCAUGCUUGUUUGAGUAUCAGUAAACACCUCAACCUCUCUUUUCUGAUAAAAAAAAGGGAGGGUGGACUUGAGCUAUCCCAACGACCUUCACCGGUAGGCGGGCGGCUUGAAAUGCAGGUGCAGCUGGACUUUUAUCUGAGCUAAAAGCAUAUCUAUUUAGUCCUCGUCAAACAGGAUUAUUACUUUUGCUGCAGCUAACAUAAAGGAUAAUUGUCCUCUUUGCUGACUGAUGCAGGAUUUUACGACACUUUAUGUGUUGUUCAACUCGAUCUCAAAUCAAGUAAGACUACCCGCUGAACUUAAGCAUAUCAAUAAGCGGAGGA